GACGAACGCUGGCGGCGUGCUUAACACAUGCAAGUGGAGCGACGAACCGGGGCUUGCCCCGGGGCAGAGCCGCGAACGGGUGAGUAACACGUGGGUGACCUGCCCUCAGCUCUGGGAUAAGCCUGGGAAACCGGGUCUAAUACCGGAUAUGACUCCAUGACGCAUGUUGUGGGGUGGAAAGCCUUGUGCGGCUGAGGAUGGGCCCGCGGCCUAUCAGCUUGUUGGUGGGGUGAUGGCCUACCAAGGCGACGACGGGUAGCCGGCCUGAGAGGGCGACCGGCCACACUGGGACUGAGACACGGCCCAGACUCCUACGGGAGGCAGCAGUGGGGAAUCUUGCGCAAUGGGCGAAAGCCUGACGCAGCGACGCCGCGUGAGGGAUGACGGCCUGGUUGUAA
Molecule: ribosomal RNA, 398 nt
Filed under: uncultured bacterium
Lineage: Bacteria
Description: bacterial SSU rRNA
Rfam family: Bacterial small subunit ribosomal RNA
Source: RNAcentral